This 95-nucleotide non-coding RNA is filed under the name Bacillus sp. (in: firmicutes). RNAcentral describes it as "Bacillus sp. c-di-GMP sequence". It matches the Rfam family "c-di-GMP-I riboswitch aptamer". From Rfam's summary of the family: GEMM was predicted in a large-scale screen for bacterial structured RNA regulatory elements. Genes associated with GEMM are involved in a diverse array of functions, including chemotaxis regulation, signal transduction, secretion and chitin. The record is from RNAcentral. Lineage: Bacteria; Bacillati; Bacillota; Bacilli; Caryophanales; Bacillaceae.
UGUUAUAGAAGGCAAACUCAUCUGAAAAGGGAGGACGCAAAGCCACGGGCCUACAUGCAAAAUAUUAUUUGUAUAUUGGCAGCCGGGUUACCUGU